ACAACUGCUAGCAUUACUCUAAGUAAUUCAGCAAGUGGUGUAAGUGGGGUGUUAUCACAACAAACACAAAGUAAGGUGGCUCUAGUUUAGUGGUUGGAAGGAAGGUAGCAAUCAGUGAAAGAUGAAAUGCCUGAGACAACGAAGGAGAUUGAUUUCAUUCAGGCUGUUGCAGUAGGGAGAAUGUUCGUUCAGAAACAUCUCAAAGGAGAGUGGUAAAUUUUGAGUUUCAUAAAGCAAGGAAGUCGUUGAGGAAGAAUGGAGAAUGAAUUCUUUGAAAUCUGGUGUGCAUUGUACAGUUACAGCACUUCUCAAUUCAGACAGCCACAUUUCCGGACCUCGAUAGCCACAGGUAGCCAGGACCAUCAAGUGAGGCAGCACAGGAGAGACCAGGGCCUCAGUAUUCAGAUCAGAGGAGGUGAGAAGCCACAUCCAGGCCCAGUGGAAAGGGCUGAGCUGCACCCACAGAUCCUAGACUGUUGAACAGGAUGCAGCAUGUUGCUUCCUUUGAGGAAACAGUUACAGAAUUGUAGGUAGGAUGUGGAUACUCAGGUGAGGACUGUAUUUCCAGCUCUUGUACCAGGAGUGCCUUUUGUCCAAGUUCUCACUAGCGGAAUGUGAACAGAAGUGAUUUGUACAAGGUCUGCCUUACUUCUUAAGAUGAGACGUCUGUGCCUGAACUGCUCUGACCUCUGGCCGCUGCCUUGGCUGGCAAAAAACUAGAGCGGCCUUGGAAGCCUUGUGUUGAAGAUGAAAAACUGGUUACCUGCAUGUACUCUCAUGUGGGAAAUGAACCUUUACUUUGAGCCACUGCAUUUUGGGGUCUUUUUUUUUUAAAACAGCUUACAUUCUCCGGUACACCUGUGGUUGCACAUCACGUUUCCUGUAUCCCACAUAGGAAGACUUCCUUAGCUUAUUCCUUUAUUUUGGUGGAGGACCUCCUCCAUUUGCCUUCUUAGAAGGUGUGCUGGAGGGGUAACUAUUUUGAGAGCUGAAUUCCUUUGCAUUUGACCUGUUUUUAUCCUUCUGGAGCCUUAAGAAUCUUCUAUUUGUCUCCAGCGUUUUCUCGUGUGUGUGUCUAUUUUCAACUAUUGUGCUGGGUACUCAACCCUUGCAAUCUGGAAACUGGUAUCCUUCAUUUCUGGGAAUAAAAAUGUUUUUUCUUUGAUUAUUCCCUCCCCUGCAUUUUCCCUGUCUCUAUUCUUAGCAGAAC
Felis catus (domestic cat) is the source of this 1210-nucleotide long non-coding RNA. RefSeq lists it as uncharacterized. The record is from RefSeq and is a predicted model, not a curated record. The transcript has 4 exons. Lineage: Eukaryota; Metazoa; Chordata; Mammalia; Carnivora; Felidae.